Long non-coding RNA from Camelus dromedarius (Arabian camel), 622 nucleotides. RefSeq lists it as uncharacterized. The transcript has 3 exons. Lineage: Eukaryota; Metazoa; Chordata; Mammalia; Artiodactyla; Camelidae. The record is from RefSeq and is a predicted model, not a curated record.
CCAAGCGGACCAAGAGUCCUGUUAAUGGAACCAGUUCAGGAUGCAGACGCCCACGUGGAAAGGAGUAUUUCCCAGAGCAGCCUCCAGAGGGCACCACCAUCACACCGGUUACCCCAUUGGCGACCCCACCUACAAGCAAGCCCCCGCCUCACCUGUACCUGCGAAGUCUACACCAUGCACACCUCAAGGCUGUGUAGAUUCACAGAUUUGUUACAUCUGCAUCUCAGCUCCUCUACCAGACUGUGAGUUCCCGGCGGCAGGCUCAGUGUCCCCAGGGCUCCCAGCGGCCCCUGUGGCCCAAGCUGAAGGAACAAAGGUGCUUGGUGCUUUCUGGUUCUGCAAGGCCGCUCUGCCAGGCCUGCCUCCGUGACCCACCCGUCUGCGCACUGAACUCAGGGAGGGGAGACCCCUGUCCCAGGCUCCGACUAGCACUUCCGUCAGAUGCACAGGUCUUUUGGUUUCUGCUUGCAGAGGGUCAGUUUCUGCUGAUGCUGCUCAUGUGGCUGGUGGCUCAGGGCAGGGGUCUACAGCUGCUGGGGCUGGGGCUAAGGUCCUGGCUGGGGAGGCCCCAAACACCACAAGGACGAAAACCAUCUGAGCCUAGAACCAUGCAGAGAGCCAA